AGCCUCUUAGCUCAGUAGAUCAGAGCGUUUGCUGUACUAGAGUCUUUUCCUUGCUGGCGUGGGUUCAAAUCCCACCGGGGCCA
RNAcentral lists this transfer RNA (83 nucleotides) under Schistocephalus solidus. It matches the Rfam family "tRNA". From Rfam's summary of the family: Transfer RNA (tRNA) molecules are approximately 80 nucleotides in length. The record is from Rfam by way of RNAcentral. Lineage: Eukaryota; Metazoa; Platyhelminthes; Cestoda; Diphyllobothriidea; Diphyllobothriidae.